RNAcentral lists this ribosomal RNA (1038 nucleotides) under Salmonella enterica. RNAcentral's name for it is "partial 23S ribosomal RNA". It matches the Rfam family "Bacterial large subunit ribosomal RNA", at positions 1084 to 2023 of the family's 2925-position model. RNAcentral also lists the same sequence under 2 other names. The record is from RNAcentral. Lineage: Bacteria; Pseudomonadati; Pseudomonadota; Gammaproteobacteria; Enterobacterales; Enterobacteriaceae.
CCCAGACAGCCAGGAUGUUGGCUUAGAAGCAGCCAUCAUUUAAAGAAAGCGUAAUAGCUCACUGGUCGAGUCGGCCUGCGCGGAAGAUGUAACGGGGCUAAACCAUGCACCGAAGCUGCGGCAGCGAACGUAUCACUUAAAGCGAUUCAGCGGGUUACGAUUGACGGAGCGAAGCGACGUCAAAGCGUAUACAAAGUCGAGUCGGUUUAAGGAUACGUUCGUUGGGUAGGGGAGCGUUCUGUAAGCCCGUGAAGGUGGCCUGUGAGGGUUGCUGGAGGUAUCAGAAGUGCGAAUGCUGACAUAAGUAACGAUAAAGCGGGUGAAAAGCCCGCUCGCCGGAAGACCAAGGGUUCCUGUCCAACGUUAAUCGGGGCAGGGUGAGUCGACCCCUAAGGCGAGGCCGAAAGGCGUAGUCGAUGGGAAACGGGUUAAUAUUCCCGUACUUGGUGUUACUGCGAAGGGGGGACGGAGAAGGCUAUGUUGGCCGGGCGACGGUUGUCCCGGUUUAAGCGUGUAGGUGUGUGUUCCAGGUAAAUCCGGUUCACUUUAACACUGAGGCGUGAUGACGAGGCACUACGGUGCUGAAGCAACAAAUGCCCUGCUUCCAGGAAAAGCCUCUAAGCAUCAGGUAACACGAAAUCGUACCCCAAACCGACACAGGUGGUCAGGUAGAGAAUACCAAGGCGCUUGAGAGAACUCGGGUGAAGGAACUAGGCAAAAUGGUGCCGUAACUUCGGGAGAAGGCACGCUGACACGUAGGUGAAGUGAUUUACUCACGGAGCUGAAGUCAGUCGAAGAUACCAGCUGGCUGCAACUGUUUAUUAAAAACACAGCACUGUGCAAACACGAAAGUGGACGUAUACGGUGUGACGCCUGCCCGGUGCCGGAAGGUUAAUUGAUGGGGUCAGCGUAAGCGAAGCUCCUGAUCGAAGCCCCGGUAAACGGCGGCCGUAACUAUAACGGUCCUAAGGUAGCGAAAUUCCUUGUCGGGUAAGUUCCGACCUGCACGAAUGGCGUAAUGAUGGCCAGGCUGUCUCC